Molecule: unclassified non-coding RNA, 870 nt
Filed under: uncultured Synechococcus sp.
Lineage: Bacteria; Bacillati; Cyanobacteriota; Cyanophyceae; Synechococcales; Synechococcaceae
Description: partial may contain 16S ribosomal RNA, 16S-23S ribosomal RNA intergenic spacer, and 23S ribosomal RNA
Rfam family: tRNA (bases 347-419)
Source: RNAcentral
GUCGAAGGUGGGGCUGAUGACUGGGGUGAAGUCGUAACAAGGUAUCCGUACCGGAAGGUGCGGAUGGAUCACCUCCUAACAGGGAGACAAAACAAUGAUUUUGAUGUCUGAGUAUUUUAUUCUUAGGCCGAAAUCCUGUCACCUUAGGUCGAUCGGUACCUCAACAUUUUUCCAAAGAUUGGUGAGCAAUCAUCAAGAGAUUGGAAGGGAUGUUCAGUUCCUAAACUUUGUCUAGGUCACACCCCGCAAGGGAAGAGUCCCCUGGGCCAUUAGCUCAGGUGGUUAGAGCGCACCCCUGAUAAGGGUGAGGUCCCUGGUUCAAGUCCAGGAUGGCCCAUUCGGUGUUGGGGGUUUAGCUCAGUUGGUAGAGCGCCUGCUUUGCAAGCAGGAUGUCAGGAGUUCGAGUCUCCUAACCUCCACUGACAGAACUCAAUCUCCAUUGUCCGGUAACUCGGAGGAUGAACUCAAAGGUGUGUGAUUUAGAUGUGUCCACUAGAUAGGACCCUAGCUUCCUGUCAUUCCGAACAAGUGAUUAUUGCUUGAUUGGCUGAUAUGAUGCUGGGCUCAGAUUAAUCGAAAGAUUAAUUUGAUCUCUAGUAGAACCUUGACAACUGCAUAAGUAAGUCUGGAAAAACGAAGCAUCUUACAGAUGCAUUGUUUUAAGUCUGAAUUCUCGAAAGAGAGUUUAGAUCUAGAAUGAUGAAAAUUCUUUUAAGCAAGAGCCGAGACUCUUAGAUGUUCUUUUUAUCGUGUCGAGCGAUAAAGAGUUUGAUUUUGUUUUUAUGAGCAGCGAAAGUUGCUGAUAAAACCAGAAGAAUCUGCUUUCAACCGCAGUAAGCGUUUAAGAGGUUAAUUGGUCAAGCUACAAAG